Long non-coding RNA from Chroicocephalus ridibundus (black-headed gull), 1437 nucleotides. RefSeq lists it as uncharacterized. The record is from RefSeq and is a predicted model, not a curated record. NCBI's taxonomy places the organism in Eukaryota, Metazoa, Chordata, Aves, Charadriiformes, Laridae. The transcript is spliced from 3 exons.
AGCUCUGCUGCUGCUCAGCUGAGUAAAGGGGUUGCUGUUCCCAAAUGCCCAUCCCUGCCCCUCUUUCUCCACCAGACAACCCUGAUUGCUUAUACCCACGAGCAUCAGGGUGAUGAGAGUAUGGGGGAGCUGGAACAGCUUUACCUGGGGCCACUACUGGCAGAAGAGGAUCCGUAAUUGCAGCCUGAGGAUUGAGGACAGCAUGCUGCUGCUGUGAGGAAUCUCCUGUUUCUAAUUUUAUUUUCCUAUUGCUUAUCAAUGUCAUAAAAAGUUAAAUUAAAGAAGAAGUGUAGGGUGUUACAAAGUCCCGUCAUAAAAAUGUAUCUUCCAAGUCAUAAAUUAAUGAUUUGUUUUCUCCAUCUGGUUUGCCUGAUACAAACAGGAACAGUUUGCUUUUGCUGAGAGUGGAAAUGCCUCCGCUGAAAGGAUCUUGUGGAAAUAGGAAGAUGCAAGAAGAAAACAUUCAGGUAGCCUGUGUCAGUCUGCACACUGCUACAAACAGAAGGGAAGUGCACAAAGGGAAAUACGACUUGGAGGACAAACACACCACGCAUGUUAUUAUUGGUUACUCCCUACAACACAACGUGCCCUCAGCUGGUAGCAAUUACACUAACUGCUAUCUCCAAAGGGGAAACUAGUAUUGCCAGCUAUGAACGAGGUUAACUGUGAAAGGCAAGAAAAGGAAGAAGCUGCAGAUAUGCCUAAGCAGUAUUUCUACACCACUUCCAAAAGGAAAGACAUCCUUAUGCUUUGGAGAUGGUGAACAAGGUGGUUUUGGUCAGAGUGAAUAAGGUUUGUGCCAGCAGCCCUUGGGAUUUUACCUUGAAGAUGGAGACGAAAGGACGUCUGGCAAGGUGAAGGUCUGCGUAGCCAAAAUGGAGUUGUCUUCCUGGCCAGUACUCCCACGGGGACUGCAGAUGCGCAGUUUGUGAGCAGUGCAGAUUGCCGCAAGAACAACAUUCUUUCGCUACCUUUUCUACUUGCUUGUUUUUGAAAUAUCCAAAGUUUUACAGCAUUGCAUCAGCUGCAUUUUAUGAGCUUGUCCCCCUUCCCCCUUCAAGAUUGAAUAAAGUCUGCAGAGGACUAUAAUGGCCAAGAGGGAAAACCAAGCACAGCAUCUAGAAGACUGCUCAAAAACCUCUACAAACCAGAAAGAAGUUUAGAUAAAAUGUCUAGGCAAACAUAGCCCCCUUUUGGAUUAUGUAGCGCAGGGCAGUGCCAUCCAGAAACGUUCAUACCAGUUCCCCACAAGCUAAUUCUGAUUCUAGAAGGGACCUGGUCAUCACAGCAUGACCCUGCCUUGGUCCCCUACCCUUCCUAAGCAGCAGCAGGUUAUAUUUGCAUCGACAGUCUCUUUGAUCACUUGGCAAUACGCUUCUCCAACAUCCUUGUUUAGGGCUAGUCUGGCCAUCUUUACGUGAUACUGCAUUGUGCUAU